GCCGCAGAGACGCUUGAGCAAGCUUCGAUAUGGGGUUGAAGUUUCUGGAUUGGUACGUGAAAGAUCGCGGUCUUCUCAGCUCUCGUCGGCGGCUCCAUGGAGUUGUUCAUGAUCAAGACCGGCUUCUGUCUUGUAGCCAAAAAGAUGGCGCGACAAUGACUCCGAAAUCGGCAGUUUUAGUCAUUAUCAAGCAGUUGAAAUCACUUCUAUCUAAAAAAAAAUCUUGCUUUAAAGCUUUCGAGCGAUGUUAGUGCGGCAGCUAUUGUGUUUAGUCGAAUGGGAGCAGAUUUUACGGUGAUGGGUCGUGUUCGAGUUUGUCUCUCUUCGGAUGGAGGAGGCACCAUUUAGCCGGUUGCUUUGUGGAUGAAAUUGGGGGUAGGAUGGAAAUUCAUGAUUUCAGUGGUAUGUCUCUGUUGGUAGCUUGUGAAAGAGGAGGGCUCUGAUUUGGACUGUCUAUUGUGGCGCUGAACUGAACGUUCCCCCCGUUCUACACGAGAAGUAAAAUGCGAAAAAAUGUUGUUUUGGAUGAUGAAUGGUGAUGCCAAUGAAUGCGAAGCGUUCCGCUGUCUGUGGAGAAAGAAAGGAUAGUUUAUGCAACUAAUAUCUGUCUGUUCAUCGAUGACUUCUGUGGGAGAAACUUCUGAAAGAUAGUUGUCGAGAUAGUGGUUUUAAAACGGAACUUACGACAGCGGUGCACGUCUCAAGAGAACAUGGAGCUGAUUGUUCUGCAGCUAUUUCGUAAGGAAUAUGAAAGAGGUUAAACUUGUGAAGGAACACGCAAUUGAAUGUGGUAAUUGAAAGGCCUAUAUGUUUGCGAUUCAUUUGUGAUCUUGUUGAAGACAGACGAGCUUUCCUCGCUUGCAUCUUUCUGAAUGGAUUUUGGUAUAGACAAAAGAUUUGGAGAAUGUUGUUUGCUUGUUUGCCUUGAUAACUACCUAUGCUCUCAUAAGCAUCUUCAUGACGAAGAUGAUCAGGUUCUUUCCCGUGCCAUUGGUUGGUCAUUUUGCUACCAAAGGGUCUAGCUUUCAAGGGAUCGACCAAGUUCCAUCAUUGAAAGCAUUAUAUUUAAGAAAGAUUUACAGUGCUUGUAUGUUGCAAAUGAUAAAGUGACUGUAUUGGAGUCAGAGAAGCGGGCUCGGGAGAAUUCGGCAGAAGCUCAGGCUGUAAGAGAAGCUCUUAAUCCUUGGAGGAAUCAUGAUGCAGAAGCAAAAAUAAUUCAUAGUGCUUCCAUUGUUGAGCUAUUCCUGGGCUGAGGGACGACCGACGGGAUGAUCGCAACAUAAGUUUAUCUGAUUAUGUUUAAUCUUUUCGCCUUCAUACGUCGGCAAGGAUUAUUUAAACUCGGACGACUAUACAUGCCGAUACUAUAAGCUGCAGGAGCGAGACGAGGAAGUGAACUUCUAAACAACAGGGAUCGUAUUCUUGAUGCUUGAAAUGUGUCUUCAGGAAGAUGAAUUCAAAAUUAUGCCGGACGCAUCUGCACAGCAGACUCCUCUGUCCUGGAAUGAAUUUAGAACAUCCUGAAAUGUGUUGAUGCGAUUUCGUCUUUGGCUGCUUGGCAAUUAAUUUCCUGUUCAGCGAGUGAGAUUUUCCUGUAUAGGGGUUCCACAUCCGGAAUUUUCUUUAUGUACAUCCCCUCAUCAUCAUCCAAAAAACUACAUUUUUGUUGGCAUACUGCAGAAAACUCCUCUCCCGAGCUUCCACCGCCGAUGGCGGAUUUCUCCGGCAAAGUCAAGAAAUUGUCACGGUCACGGUCACCGACGAAGUCCUCUUCGAGGCAAAGAAAUUCGUCAGGAUUAAAUCCACACUUCUCAAGGUCGCAGAGCAUCGACUCCUCUCCCGAGAUUCCACCGCCGAUGGCCUAGUUUUCCGGCAAAGUCAAGAAAUUGUCGUGGUCACCGUCACCAACGCAAUUCCCAAACAGAUUAAGAAAGUUGUCUGGAUUAAAUCCCUACCCCUCAAGAUCAGAGCGGGUGCUUUCGCCGGCGGCGGAAAAACAGGACUUUGUCAGUGACCGUGACCGUGAUAAUUUCUUGACUUUGCCGAAAAACUCGGCCGUUGGUGGUGAAAGCUCGAAAGAGGUGUUGAUGCUCUGCGACCUUGAGGAGUGUGGAUUUAAUCCUAACGAAUUUCUUUGCCUCGAUGAGGACUUCGUUGGUGACCGUGACCGUGACAAUUUCUUUACUUUGCCAGAGAACUGGGCCAUCGGCGGUGGAAGCUUGGGAGAGGAGUUGAUGCUCUAAUAUCUUGAUGGCUGGAUAUGAUCCGACCACUUUUUUACACUUGAAGAUCUGGAUGUUCCUCUGUGAUGUAGAUAUGAAUAUAUGUGGUUUUUCUUGUAAAACUGCAUUGUACAUAAUACAAUCUCUUUUUCCAGUUCACUGGUUUAAUGGCAUUGGCUCUCUCUAUUUCUUUCUUUUUCACUUCCUUGAUCGAUGGAAUUCAAUCAUUUUUUCUAACUGUUGAGGGUAGAGUUUAAAAACUACUUAAAGACAUGAUCUCAAUCAAGCCAAAACCUAAUAUAUUAUCGUACCAACAAGAUGACUGGAUGCAUGGUGCAUUAUAAUUUUUAAACAUUGAAUAUACUAACUGAAGAUCAAAUGUCAACACAAAAAAGUUUGUAUGGAAGCAAAGCUGUUUGAGCAGUAAUCGGCGGAAGUAUGACCACGAUUCUCAAGUGAUGUUGUCAACACUAAACCCGGAUCGUGUGCUGGUGCGGCUUCAGAAGCAUAUGCGAUUCCCUUCAUUCCUUUUUCCCCUGUAAUGGGGCUGGGUGUGGAUUUUGAGACUCAUUAUUUGCAUAUCCAAAAGGAAACUGUGCAAUUUCGAUGAACUGUGAUCAGAUUUGAAUGGUGUAGUGGGAGGAGAGGAAAGAAAGGGAAGACCUGGUCCAUGUCAAAGUAGGCCAAAAAAUCGCGAGUCUAGAGGAAGAAGUGAAUGGAACGACGACGAAUCUGGUUGGCCGAUCUUGAGGAGUCCAAGCGUAAACAUGCAGCAUUAUGCUUAUAGACAAAAGGAAAUGCAGGUACUUAUGCAACGUUACGAAUGUUACGACAAUGAGCUGGAUAAAAAUCUCCUCCUCACACAGAAUCGUCCUCGAAGUUUCUGUUCGCUUUUGGGAUUCGAGUUUAUAGAGGAAGAAGAAUUGGCACAAGAGGUUCAGGGACUGCAAUGGGAAGAGGGCCUCAUGAACGUCCAUUAGAUAAGAUCAUGAUUGAGAUCCUGAAACACUUGAUAUACAAUAUAGCCUAAGCAAAAGGUUAAAUGAAUGGAAGUAUAUUCAAUAACAUUGCAGAUGCUUCGCUCCAUAACUAAAGUUGAACCGUCGCUUCGUCCUUCCUAAGUUGCAUUGUUGGAUAAUCUCACUAAUCCUGAUAUAAGAUGUGAAUCUAUGAUGGAGCUUAUUGACAGAGACAAGAAAGCAGAUGUCAAUCCCUAGAACUGCACAGAUGUUGAAGUCCUUCUCUUUUGUGCUCAGUAGAUGCUUUGCAAGACUGAUUAGACGCUAUCGUGCUAGGAAUUGGCUAGUCCCUGGCAUUACGAUGCUUAGGGUGCUUGUUCAACGUUCUGUGGAUUUGUGGUCAAAGUGUUGCUUCUUUAGUGCUUUAAUGACACUACCUCAGAUGCAGUCAUUUUCUUUCGCUGCAAAAACGAAUAAAUGAAAAGGGUAAGUGUGACUGGUGAUAUUAGGUGGGCAGGAUUUUGCGAGAUAAGAUUAGCUGAUCAUGGAGUUGAUUUGAGAGUCCCCAGCAUUCGAUCUCGCCAAGAGCUUCUCGAUUUGACCGAGUUCAAGAAUCUUCACUUCAAGCAGGAGGUGUUUCCAGAUUGAUCAGAGGCUUAAUAACAAACGAGCUGUCACCUUCAAGAUAGACACUCUGCUUGCUAGUUGCUAAUAAGUGUUUGUUGGAUUUUGCGGAAACUCGAGCAGUUCCGGGAUUGUAGAGCUCGAAUCUCUGUCCUAAAUGUAGAUCGGAUUGAGCAUCAAAUGUCAUUGCCAAGCAGAAAUACUCCUAGAAGAGCUUAUGCAUGCCAUGACAAGCUCUUGCCGUAUCGGUUCUUCUCUUAGAAGGUUUGAUUCCUA
Long non-coding RNA from Syzygium oleosum, 4081 nucleotides. RefSeq lists it as uncharacterized. The record is from RefSeq and is a predicted model, not a curated record. NCBI's taxonomy places the organism in Eukaryota, Viridiplantae, Streptophyta, Magnoliopsida, Myrtales, Myrtaceae. The transcript has 5 exons.